This 465-nucleotide ribosomal RNA is filed under the name Bergeyella zoohelcum. RNAcentral describes it as "bacterial SSU rRNA". It matches the Rfam family "Bacterial small subunit ribosomal RNA", at positions 9 to 467 of the family's 1533-position model. Lineage: Bacteria; Pseudomonadati; Bacteroidota; Flavobacteriia; Flavobacteriales; Weeksellaceae. The record is from RNAcentral.
GAGUUUGAUUAUGGCUCAGGAUGAACGCUAGCGGGAGGCCUAACACAUGCAAGCCGAGCGGGAUUUGUUGGUUAGCUUGCUAACUAACAAUGAGAGCGGCGUACGGGUGCGUAACACGUGUGCAACCUGCCUUUAUCUGGGGGAUAGCCUUUCGAAAGGAAGAUUAAUACCCCAUAAUAUAUUGAUUGGCAUCAGUUAAUAUUGAAAGCUCCGGCGGAUAGAGAUGGGCACGCAUAAGAUUAGCUAGUUGGUGAGGUAACGGCUCACCAAGGCUGCGAUCUUUAGGGGGCCUGAGAGGGUGAUCCCCCACACUGGUACUGAGACACGGACCAGACUCCUACGGGAGGCAGCAGUGAGGAAUAUUGGACAAUGGGUGAGAGCCUGAUCCAGCCAUCCCGCGUGAAGGACUAAGGACCUAUGGUUUGUAAACUUCUUUUAUACAGGGAUAAACCUACUCUCGUGAGG